This 253-nucleotide ribosomal RNA is filed under the name uncultured bacterium. Its description in RNAcentral is "partial 16S ribosomal RNA". It matches the Rfam family "Bacterial small subunit ribosomal RNA", at positions 524 to 776 of the family's 1533-position model. The record is from RNAcentral.
UACAGAGGGUGCAAGCGUUAAUCGGAAUUACUGGGCGUAAAGCGUGCGCAGGCGGCUAUGCAAGACAGAUGUGAAAUCCCCGGGCUCAACCUGGGAACUGCAUUUGUGACUGCAUGGCUAGAGUACGGUAGAGGGGGAUGGAAUUCCGCGUGUAGCAGUGAAAUGCGUAGAUAUCGAGAGGAACACCGGUGGCGAAGGCGAGUCCCUGGACAAUCCCUGACACUGAGGCACGAAAGCUAGGGGAGCAAACAGG